This 250-nucleotide unclassified non-coding RNA is filed under the name uncultured fungus. RNAcentral's name for it is "sequence contains ITS1, 5.8S rRNA gene". The stretch from base 202 to 250 matches the Rfam family "5.8S ribosomal RNA", at positions 1 to 49 of the family's 154-position model. The record is from RNAcentral. Lineage: Eukaryota; Fungi.
UUUCCGUAGGUGAACCUGCGGAAGGAUCAUUAACGAUUGUCGGGGCCUUCGGGUCCCAACUUCAACCCCAUGUUUACUUCAAACGUUUGCUUCGGUGGGACGGCGCCCGCGCCGCCGGCCCUCGGGCUGGAGAGCGCCCACCGAUGGCGGUACCAAACUCUGUUUGCACCUGUGAAGUCUGAGUUAUUAAGAAUAAAUCAAAACUUUCAACAACGGAUCUCUUGGUUCUGGCAUCGAUGAAGAACGCAGC